UGGGGAAUUUUGGACAAUGGGGGCAACCCUGAUCCAGCCAUCCCGCGUGUGCGAUGAAGGCCUUCGGGUUGUAAAGCACUUUUGGCAGGGAAGAAACAGCCUGGGAUAAUACCCCGGGCGACUGACGGUACCUGCAGAAUAAGCACCGGCUAACUACGUGCCAGCAGCCGCGGUAAUACGUAGGGUGCAAGCGUUAAUCGGAAUUACCGGGCGUAAAGCGUGCGCAGGCGGUUCGGAAAGAAAGGUGUGAAAUCCCAGGGCUUAACCUUGGAACUGCACUUUUAACUACCGAGCUAGAGUACGUCAGAGGGGGGUAGAAUUCCACGUGUAGCAGUGAAAUGCGUAGAGAUGUGGAGGAAUACCGAUGGCGAAGGCAGCCCCCUGGGAUGAUACUGACGCUCAUGCACGAAAGCGUGGGGAGCAAACAGGAUUAGAUACCCUGGUAGUCCACGCCCUAAACGAUGUCAACUAGCUGUUGGGGUUUAUUAACCUUAGUAGCGCAGCUAACGCGUGAAAGUUGACCGCCUGGGGGAGUACGGUCGCAAGAUUAAAACUCAAAUGAAUUGAC
RNAcentral lists this ribosomal RNA (568 nucleotides) under uncultured bacterium. RNAcentral describes it as "partial 16S ribosomal RNA". It matches the Rfam family "Bacterial small subunit ribosomal RNA", at positions 355 to 914 of the family's 1533-position model. The record is from RNAcentral.